CAAUAGCGUAUAUUAAAGUUGUUGCAGUUAAAAAGCUCGUAGUUGGAUUUCUGGUCGGAAGCUCCUGUCCUCUGAUGAGCGUACAAGUGCGUCCUACCAUCCUUCUGUUAACCUUUAAGGCUUUCGCGGCUUUCUAGGGGCUCAGAUAUUUUACCUUGAGAAAAUUAGAGUGUUUCAGGCAGGCUAGCGCCGGAAUACAUUAGCAUGGAAUAAUGGAAUAGGACUUUUGCCUCUUCUGUUGGUCAUGAGGCUCGAGUAAUGAUUAAUAGGGAUAGUUGGGGGCAUUAGUACUUAACUGUCAGAGGUGAAAUUCGCGGAUUUGUUAAAGACUAACUUAUGCGAAAGCAUUUGCCAAGGAUGUUUUCAUUAA
Molecule: ribosomal RNA, 370 nt
Filed under: uncultured eukaryote
Lineage: Eukaryota
Description: partial 18S ribosomal RNA
Rfam family: Eukaryotic small subunit ribosomal RNA
Source: RNAcentral